This 433-nucleotide ribosomal RNA is filed under the name uncultured bacterium. RNAcentral's name for it is "partial 16S ribosomal RNA". It matches the Rfam family "Bacterial small subunit ribosomal RNA", at positions 29 to 507 of the family's 1533-position model. The record is from RNAcentral.
AACGAACGCUGGCGGCAUGCCUAACACAUGCAAGUCGAACGAGACCUUCGGGUCUAGUGGCGCUCGGGUGCGUAACGCGUGGGAACCUGCACUUAGGUUCGGAAUAACUCCCCGAAAGGGGUGCUAAUACCGGAUAAUGUCUUCGGACACAAGAUUUAUCGCCUUUGGAUGGGCCCGGGUUGGUUUAGCCAGUUGGUAGGGUAAAAGCCUACCAAGGCAAGGAUCCUUAGCUGGUCUGAGAGGAUGAGCAGCCACACUGGGACUGAGACACGGCCCAGACUCCUACGGGAGGGAGCAGUGGGGAAUAUAGGACAAUGGGCGAAAGCCUGAUCCAGCAAUGCCGCGUGAGUGAUGAAGUCCGUAGGGUUGUAAAGCUCUUUUACCCGGGGUGAUAAUGACAGUACCGGGAGAAUAAGCUCCGGCUAACUCCGUG